UGAGGAAUAUUGGUCAAUGGGCGGGCGCCUGAACCAGCCAAGCCGCGUGAGGGAAGAAGGCCCUAUGGGUCGUAAACCUCUUUUGUCAGGGAACAAAAGCGAGUAUGUAUACUGGUCUGAGUGUACCUGAAGAAAAAGCAUCGGCUAACUCCGUGCCAGCAGCCGCGGUAAUACGGAGGAUGCGAGCGUUAUCCGGAUUUAUUGGGUUUAAAGGGUGCGUAGGCGGCGGUGCAAGUCAGCGGUAAAAGCCCGGGGCUCAACCCCGGCGAGCCGUUGAAACUACAGUGCUAGAGAAGGCGAGAGGUACGCGGAAUGCGCAGUGUAGCGGUGAAAUGCUUAGAUAUUGCGCAGAACUCCGAUUGCGAAGGCAGCGUACUGGCGCCUGACUGACGCUGAGGCACGAAAGCGUGGGGGAUCGAACAGGAUUAGAUACC
This 434-nucleotide ribosomal RNA is filed under the name uncultured bacterium. RNAcentral's name for it is "bacterial SSU rRNA". It matches the Rfam family "Bacterial small subunit ribosomal RNA", at positions 355 to 786 of the family's 1533-position model. The record is from RNAcentral.